AACUGAAAAAGGCAAACUUAUCGAAAGGUAAGGACGCAAAGCCACGAGUCUAAGGCGUUUUAGCUAUGAUCGUCGGGUUGCCAAA
Molecule: non-coding RNA, 85 nt
Filed under: Mesobacillus selenatarsenatis
Lineage: Bacteria; Bacillati; Bacillota; Bacilli; Caryophanales; Bacillaceae
Also listed under: 1 other name
Description: Bacillus selenatarsenatis c-di-GMP sequence
Rfam family: c-di-GMP-I riboswitch aptamer
About the family: GEMM was predicted in a large-scale screen for bacterial structured RNA regulatory elements. Genes associated with GEMM are involved in a diverse array of functions, including chemotaxis regulation, signal transduction, secretion and chitin.
Source: RNAcentral